GAUGAACGCUAGCGGCAGCUUAAUACAUGCAAGUCGUGGGGCAGCAUGAGUAGCAAUACUUGAUGGCGACCGGCAAACGGGUGAGGAACACGUACACAACCUUCCUUCAAGCGGGAUAGCCCAGAGAAAUUUGGAUUAAUACCCCAUAAUAUAUUUGAUAAGGCAUCUUAUUAAUAUUAAAGCUUUCGGCACUUGAUGAUGGGUGUGCGGCUGAUUAGAUAGUUGGCGGGUAACGGCCCACCAAGUCUACGAUCAGUAGCUGAUGUGAGAGCAUGAUCAGCCACACGGGCACUGAGACACGGGCCCGACUCCUACGGGAGGCAGCAGUAAGGAUAUUGGACAAUGGACGAAAGUC
This 355-nucleotide ribosomal RNA is filed under the name uncultured bacterium. RNAcentral describes it as "bacterial SSU rRNA". It matches the Rfam family "Bacterial small subunit ribosomal RNA", at positions 28 to 383 of the family's 1533-position model. The record is from RNAcentral.